CUAUAUACAUGGUGUUUCCUUUUUGCGGGGGUUACUGCCUUUUGUUACCUGUUCUACUUGAUUCCAUGGAGAUCUCAGAUACCAGCUUUUGUUUGCUUGGCCUGUUGGUUCCUGUCUGGAUUCACAUUGAUGCCAGCUGAAAUUCCUGAUAAUAAUCCAUUGGUGAUAUCCAGCGGAGUUAUGAUCACUGUUAUAGGAGUAGCUGCAAGGUGGCUAGACAAGCAUGCAGAAGGCAGUAAGUAUUGGUCAAGUAUCUGUAGUUGUGACAUGAAAAAGUCAAAGUUCUCUGUGCUCUUCCUCUUGCAGGUACUAUUGGUGGGGUUGUCCUCAAUGAUGGUAUCACUCUCGACAU
This is a long non-coding RNA of Eucalyptus grandis, 352 nucleotides long. RefSeq lists it as uncharacterized. The record is from RefSeq and is a predicted model, not a curated record. The transcript has 3 exons. NCBI's taxonomy places the organism in Eukaryota, Viridiplantae, Streptophyta, Magnoliopsida, Myrtales, Myrtaceae.